GGUUGAUCCUGCCAGUAGCAUAUGCUUGUCUCAAAGAUUAAGCCAUGCAUGUCCAAGUAUAAACCUUUAUACGGUGAAACUGCGAAUGGCUCAUUAUAUCAGUUAUGAUUUAUUUGAUAGUACGUUACUAGAUGGAUAACCGUGGUAAUUCUAGAGCUAAUACACGCGACCGCGGGGGUGCAAGCGCCGGCGGGGGUAUUUAUUAGAUCCAAACCAACGGGGGGCGACGUUCGCACCUCAGAUGGUGAUUCAUAAUAACUGGACGGAUCGUAUGGCUUUGGGCCGACGACGU
Molecule: ribosomal RNA, 292 nt
Filed under: uncultured eukaryote
Lineage: Eukaryota
Description: partial 18S ribosomal RNA
Rfam family: Eukaryotic small subunit ribosomal RNA
Source: RNAcentral